Long non-coding RNA from Xenia sp. Carnegie-2017, 386 nucleotides. RefSeq lists it as uncharacterized. The transcript is spliced from 2 exons. The record is from RefSeq and is a predicted model, not a curated record. NCBI's taxonomy places the organism in Eukaryota, Metazoa, Cnidaria, Anthozoa, Malacalcyonacea, Xeniidae.
ACUUUUGAACUUGCAAGGAGCAGUCAAGCGUCUCACUGUGAUAAACCUACGAAGUAUUCUUUCUCUCAUUUUCUUGUUUAGAAAAAGUUAUCAACUAAGUGGUCGAACUCUUCGUAAACUACCAUUCCUUGCACAUGCGCUGUACUCAAAAGCGCAAACGAUAACCUUAGAGGUGUUUUUGAAUAAUCUUUCAAUGGUUGUCGACAAGCAGUUCAAAGAAAAAGAGAAUCUUUGCUCAGUUGGUGAAGAAAAAAGCGUGCAAACGUGAUCUUUUUAGCGAUUGUAUACUUUUUAUACAUUCAUAGUAAUAUUUUGGAUAUGUUUUGUUGAAGAUUAAGAUUUUUGUAUUGCUCAAUUUAAGUUCAAUAAGUAACAUAGAUCACAAA